GACGAACGCUGGCGGCGUGCUUAACACAUGCAAGUCGAACGGAAAGGCCCUGCUUUUGUGGGGUGCUCGAGUGGCGAACGGGUGAGUAACACGUGAGUAACCUGCCCUUGACUUUGGGAUAACUUCAGGAAACUGGGGCUAAUACCGGAUAGGAGCUCCUGCUGCAUGGUGGGGGUUGGAAAGUUUCGGCGGUUGGGGAUGGACUCGCGGCUUAUCAGCUUGUUGGUGGGGUAGUGGCUUACCAAGGCUUUGACGGGUAGCCGGCCUGAGAGGGUGACCGGCCACAUUGGGACUGAGAUACGGCCCAGACUCCUACGGGAGGCAGCAGUGGGGAAUAUUGCACAAUGGGCGGAAGCCUGAUGCAGCAACGCCGCGUGCGGGAUGACGGCCUUCGGGUUGUAAACCGCUUUCGCCUGUGACGAAGCGUGAGUGACGGUAAUGGGUAAAGAAGCACCGGCUAACUACGUGCCAGCAGCCGCGGUGAUACGUAGGGUGCGAGCGUUGUCCGGAUUUAUUGGGCGUAAAGGGCUCGUAGGUGGUUGAUCGCGUCGGAAGUGUAAUCUUGGGGCUUAACCCUGAGCGUGCUUUCGAUACGGGUUGACUUGAGGAAGGUAGGGGAGAAUGGAAUUCCUGGUGGAGCGGUGGAAUGCGCAGAUAUCAGGAGGAACACCAGUGGCGAAGGCGGUUCUCUGGGCCUUUCCUGACGCUGAGGAGCGAAAGCGUGGGGAGCGAACAGGCUUAGAUACCCUGGUAGUCCACGCUGUAAACGGUGGGUACUAGGUGUGGGGUCCAUUCCACGGGUUCCGUGCCGUAGCUAACGCUUUAAGUACCCCGCCUGGGGAGUACGGCCGCAAGGCUAAAACUCAAAGGAAUUGACGGGGCCCCGCACAAGCGGCGGAGCAUGCGGAUUAAUUCGAUGCAACGCGUAGAACCUUACCUGGGUUUGACAUGGAUCGGGAGCGCUCAGAGAUGGGUGUGCCUCUUUUGGGGUCGGUUCACAGGUGGUGCAUGGCUGUCGCCAGCUCGUGUCGUGAGAUGUUGGGUUAAGUCCCGCAACGAGCGCAACCCUUGUUCACUGUUGCCAGCACGUUAUGGUGGGGACUCAGUGGAGACCGCCGGGGUCAACUCGGAGGAAGGUGGGGAUGACGUCAAGUCAUCAUGCCCCUUAUGUCCAGGGCUUCACGCAUGCUACAAUGGCUGGUACAGAGAGUGGCGAGCCUGUGAGGGUGAGCGAAUCUCGGAAAGCCGGUCUCAGUUCGGAUUGGGGUCUGCAACUCGACCUCAUGAAGUCGGAGUCGCUAGUAAUCGCAGAUCAGCAACGCUGCGGCGAAUACGUUCCCGGGGCU
RNAcentral lists this ribosomal RNA (1346 nucleotides) under uncultured bacterium. Its description in RNAcentral is "bacterial SSU rRNA". It matches the Rfam family "Bacterial small subunit ribosomal RNA", at positions 28 to 1381 of the family's 1533-position model. The record is from RNAcentral.